UACGGAGGGUGCGAGCGUUGUCCGGAAUCAUUGGGCGUAAAGGGCGCGUAGGUGGCCCGGUGAGUCUUUGGUGAAAGCGCGGGGCUCAACCCUGCGUCGGCCAGGGAUACUGCCGCGGCUCGAGCACUGUAGAGGCAGGCGGAAUUCCGGGUGUAGCGGUGGAAUGCGUAGAGAUCCGGAAGAACACCGGUGGCGAAGGCGGUCUGCUGGGCAGUAGCUGACACUGAGGCGCGACAGCGUGGGGAGCAAACAGG
This 254-nucleotide ribosomal RNA is filed under the name uncultured bacterium. Its description in RNAcentral is "partial 16S ribosomal RNA". It matches the Rfam family "Bacterial small subunit ribosomal RNA", at positions 524 to 776 of the family's 1533-position model. The record is from RNAcentral.